GGGCCGAUAGUGAGGAGACGUGUAUAACGAAGUACGUGUAAAGAACGUGCUAAUAACUGGAGGUCAAGUCUGGUGCCAGCAUCCGCGGUAAUUCCAGCUCCAGGGGUGUCUAUGAUGAUUGCUGCGAUUAAAAAGUCCGUAGUCAAUCUGACUGACUGACCUGCAAUGUGAUUGAUUAAAGAACGAGCAGGGUUAGGAAAGCAGAGAAUUAGGAGCGACCGAGGGCUAGAGUAUUGAAUGGCGAGAGGUGAAAUUUGAUGACCCAUUCAGGAGUGACAAAGGCGAAGGCACUAGUCAAGGGCGAAUCCGAUGAUCAAGGACGUAGGCUAGAGUUUCGAAAACGAUUAGAGACCGGAGUAGUUCUAGCAGUAAACUAUGCCGACGCCGUGGUAUCAACAAUGGUAUUGCGGAAGAGAAAUCAAGUAAGGCUUUGGGGAGAGUACGCGCGCAAGCGAUAAAUUUAAAGGAAAUUGACGGAGGAACACCACAAGGAGUGGAGUGUGCGGCUUAAUUUGACUCAACGCGGGACAGCUUACCAGGCCCGAUAAUCGAGCGAGCGUAGUACGCGAUAGGUUAAAGAGUGGUGCAUGGCUGCUAUCGACAGUUGGGGUGACCUUAGGGUUAAUUCCGGCAAGUAGUGAGACCCCUGCAGAUAGUGGACAGGUAUUUUUAAAAUACAGGAAGGAAGGGACAAGAGCAGGUCAGUGAUGCCCUUAGAUGGCCUGGGCUGCACGCGCACUACAGUGGUCAUUAUAAGUAGAAGUUAGAUAUAAAGAUGAUCGAGAGGGACUGAGCUUUGUAAGAGGCUCACGAACGAGGAAUUGCUAGUAAUCGUAGGCUCAUUAAGAUACGAUGAAUAUGUCCCUGUACCUUGUACACACCGCCCGUCGUUAUCGAAGAUGGAAUUGUGUGCGAACGAGCAACAAGCGA
Molecule: ribosomal RNA, 930 nt
Filed under: Dictyocoela sp.
Lineage: Eukaryota; Fungi; Microsporidia
Description: partial small subunit ribosomal RNA
Rfam family: Microsporidia small subunit ribosomal RNA
Source: RNAcentral